Molecule: small RNA, 1478 nt
Filed under: Rattus norvegicus (Norway rat)
Lineage: Eukaryota; Metazoa; Chordata; Mammalia; Rodentia; Muridae
Description: uncharacterized LOC108351528
Source: RNAcentral
ACAUUUCAACUUUCCUCAACAGCAGUGCUGUUAACACAAGGGCAUACUAAUCUCCUGAGACUCUGCCUCCUGUCUGUCACCCACAGGUAGAAUUGCUGGCUAAGACAAUACUUUUUAUUUACUUACUUACUUUUGGAGGAAUCUUCAUAUUGUCUCUCACAGUGACUGAGCCAUUUUACAUUUCUCCACAUAUUUAUCAGCGGCUUCCAUGCUGACGAUGUUCUUUUAACAGUAGCUAUCUUCAAUUAAAAAGCGCUCCAGCCGUGUUAGUUACCAAGAAGGUAGAAGAACGGAAGCGAAGGAAACAGACAGCAGAAGAGAGCUUGAAGAUGUAUAGUGUUCAGUCAAGGUGUGAGGAGGACUCACCUGUCCAUUGAGGAAGUAAAUUUUAAAAUCACAAGAGGGGGUGAAGCCAAAGCUAAAAUGCCUCCCAGGGCUAGGUGUUGGAGAGGAUAGGUAGGCUCCCUCGGUGAGCUUGCAGACACUAUGGCUGAAGAAGUACACCCAGUUCUACUCCUGCACCGCAAGCCAACAGCGUUGUUCCCAGGCCGUGCAAGACCAUGAGGAAAUGCAUGACAUAACUGUGUUUACGCUUGAGCUUUCGGGUUGCAAGCCUUGGCCCUUGACAACCCCGACAAGCUACAUUUAACCGCCCACCUAGGGAAAAGCGGAGAAAGAUUUACUCAACCACACGUGGAAGAAAAAUGAGCAAAGGGUCCAGAAACCCCAGAAUCCCAGUUUCCACGCUGUUAUUUUUCCCUCCGUGCUUUAAACUUCUCCUCCAAAUGGUUAAAUGCAUUCCAGACGCUAAAAGGAGACCACCAUUACGGCUGAAGGGCCUGAACGAACCAUACGUUGUUUGGUGAGGUGGGUGUGCCUGGGAAGAGCCAACACUGAGGCACGUGACCAUUGGCUUUUACUCUAACUCAGGAGCUGGCUGUGUCCUUUCCCCACUGGCUGGGGACUGACCUCACGAUCUUAUUUACUUGGCUCCUCUGAGGAGAGACAUAGAGGACAGGAACAGAAAGAGGAAGGGAGAAAAAGGUCACUACUCCAGGCCAUCAAAUUCCCAGAAAAGAGCAGUGGGCCUUACUUUGUGUGAACAAAGGCUGACCUGGCGAGGAUGAUGAACACACUUACGUCAAAAUCUUACAAGGCUCAUGCGUUUAUGUGGAAGGAGGAGACAGAAAGAUUGUAAGAGCCAGAGGCCCUGGAUGAUUCCAAGGAGACAGCGUCUUCAGGGGACAACAAAACUGAUAAAGCCAUCUGGAGAGAUCAGAAGUUUAUGCCUAAGACCUGCACAGGUUCAAGCUAGGUGUGGUACCAGCACGGACAGGGGAAGCAGUCGUGAGUUUUCAUCCCUAACUAGGAAGCUGUGGGCAUUUGAUACCUGCUGGGAAAGGGAUAAUCAGUUUUCUCUAAUGCAGUGUCCUUGUAUAUAUCCACCAUACGCUAGGGUAGGCCCCAACCGGUAUUCG